AUUGAACGCUGGCGGCAUGCCUUACACAUGCAAGUCGAACGGUAGAGGUAGCAAUACCUUGAGAGUGGCGAACGGGUGAGUAAUACAUCGGAACAUGCCCAACUGUGGGGGAUAACGUAGCGAAAGUUACGCUAAUACCGCAUACGAUCUACGGAUGAAAGCGGGGGACCGUAAUGACUCGCGCAGUUGGAGUGGCUGAUGCCAGAUUAGCUAGUUGGUGGGGUAAAAGCCUACCAAGGCAACGAUCUGUAGCUGGUCUGAGAGGAGGACCAGCCACACUGGGACUGAGACACGGCCCAGACUCCUACGGGAGGCAGCAGUGGGGAAUUUUGGACAAUGGACGAAAGUCUGAUCCAGCAAUGCCGCGUGCAGGACGAAGGCCUUCGGGUUGUAAACUGCUUUUGUACGGAGCGAAAAAGUCUUCUUUAAUACAGAGGGCUCAUGACGGUACCGUAAGAAUAAGCACCGGCUAACUACGUGCCAGCAGCCGCGGUAA
RNAcentral lists this ribosomal RNA (496 nucleotides) under uncultured bacterium. Its description in RNAcentral is "partial 16S ribosomal RNA". It matches the Rfam family "Bacterial small subunit ribosomal RNA", at positions 30 to 523 of the family's 1533-position model. The record is from RNAcentral.